This 436-nucleotide long non-coding RNA is filed under the name Helianthus annuus (common sunflower). The record is from RNAcentral. Lineage: Eukaryota; Viridiplantae; Streptophyta; Magnoliopsida; Asterales; Asteraceae.
CGUGUAUCUGGACAUUCCCAAUCACCGACCCAAUCAAUCAGAAACGCGUUUUUUUGUUGAAACGGAGCGUAAAUUCUAAUAGUUGGGAACGGUGCAAUUUGGCGAUCUGGAUCGCGUACCUUGGGCAAUCGGUACGAUUUUGUACCCGUUUCCGGUACAAACGAUCUGGAACAUAGAUCGCGGCUUUCAUUUUAUCUACCAUUCAACACUGUAAUGCUUAGAUCAUGUCUAAACUUGUUACUGGAUGUCCCUGUGAAGUGGAUAAGCACAACUUCUAUAGAAUGAAGUAUGAACUAGUAACACUGCUACAUAUAUGUGGCAACAUAUGGUGGCUGGUUUACGAUUGUUUUUUAUGACGACAAGGCCAGAUUGGUUGAUUAAAAUACCUUUUUUUUCCAAACAUCAAAUCAUUUAUGUAGUUCAUGAUUUCAGUAUU